GAUGAACGCUGGCGGCGUGCCUAAUACAUGCAAGUCGAGCGAACAGACGAGGAUUUUUCUUCUCUUACGUUACCGGCGGACGGGUGAUUAAUACGUGGAUAACCUACCUAUAAGACUGGGAUAACUUCGGGAAACCGGAUCUAAUACCGGUCAUUAUAUUGAACCUCAUGGUUCAUUAGUGAAAGACGGUUUUGCUGUCACUUAUACAUAUAUCCUCGCCGCAGUAGCUAGUUGGUAAGGUAACGGCUUACCAAGGCUACGAUGCGUAGCCGACCUGAGAGGGUGAUCGGCCACACUGGAACUGAGACACGGUCCAGACUCCUACGGGAGGCAGCAGUGGGGAAUAUUCGGCAAUGGGCGAAAGCCUGACGGAGCAACGCCGCGUGAGUGAUGAAGGUCUUCGGAUUGUAAAACUCUGUUAUUAGGGAGGAAGAACUGUGUGAGAAACUCUGGACGUCUUGACGGUACCAACUCAGAAAGCCACGGCUAACUACGUG
This 497-nucleotide ribosomal RNA is filed under the name uncultured bacterium. RNAcentral describes it as "partial 16S ribosomal RNA". It matches the Rfam family "Bacterial small subunit ribosomal RNA", at positions 28 to 507 of the family's 1533-position model. The record is from RNAcentral.